Long non-coding RNA from Ruditapes philippinarum (Manila clam), 453 nucleotides. RefSeq lists it as uncharacterized. NCBI's taxonomy places the organism in Eukaryota, Metazoa, Mollusca, Bivalvia, Venerida, Veneridae. The record is from RefSeq and is a predicted model, not a curated record. The transcript is spliced from 3 exons.
AUGGAAGACAGAUCAAUAAAGACAAUUACCAGUGUCCGCAAGGAAUAAGGACUGUCGCUGUAAUGGGGGAAGUCCUCACAAACAUUAAUGAUGGUGCAUACCAUAGUUCUGUACUGCAGUCUGGAAAGUUACUCCCAAAAUCAAGCUCAAGCAGUAAUACACAGCUUGAUAUUUCAGCUUCUGCAAAUGAUGCAACUUCAACAGUGAAAGAUGUGGUCAAGUGUAGCAUAUCCAGUCAGCAAGGUUUGUUAAUACUGUAGGUUGUUCUUUUAGAUGAGGUUUUAAUCGGUCACAAAUGAGGUACAAAUGUAUAUCAUCUGAUCAAAUCUCAGAAAAAGUUGUAACAGUUUAGCUUUGUUGAGUUUAAAUUAAAGCUCAAGAUAAGAUGAUAUUGCAAGUACUCUGUUGUUUUUUGCUGCUUUUUGUGUCGCUUGCAUCAGAGUUGUGGCAACA